RNAcentral lists this long non-coding RNA (392 nucleotides) under Phoenix dactylifera (date palm). RNAcentral's name for it is "long non-coding RNA (PDAC_LNC010687)". The record is from RNAcentral. Lineage: Eukaryota; Viridiplantae; Streptophyta; Magnoliopsida; Arecales; Arecaceae.
GAAGAUCCUCAUUCUAGUUUUCCAAUAGGUAUAAUUUGUCCCAUUGAAGAGUGGAGGUCUAUUGGUUGCCUGCCCCUCAGCAGGAACAUUGUUAAAGGGUGUUCCCAUCUAGAUCUUUGGCUAAGACGGUUAGGUCUUCAAGAAAUACACAGAGCACCCGCUCUGAUACCACUUGUUGCCCAGAGAUGGUCACCCAAGAGGGGGGUGAAUUGGGUGUUUUAAAACUUUUCGCCUAAUUAAAAAUAAAAUACACAAAUGUAUGAACUAAAGUAAAGAAAGAGGAAUGAGAAAGGUCAAUCGCAAACACAAGGUUUUAUAGUGGUUCGGAGCUUCCACUGCUCCUACAUCCACUCCCCAAAGCACCUUUGGAAAUUUUCACUAUAAUCCAAGAU